GAUUGACCUCGGAUCAGGUAGGGAUACCCGCUGAACUUAAGCAUAUCAAUAAGC
Molecule: ribosomal RNA, 54 nt
Filed under: Lecanora farinacea
Lineage: Eukaryota; Fungi; Ascomycota; Lecanoromycetes; Lecanorales; Lecanoraceae
Also listed under: 1 other name
Description: partial 28S ribosomal RNA
Source: RNAcentral